UACGGAGGGUGCAAGCGUUGUCCGGAUUUAUUGGGUUUAAAGGGUGCGUAGGCGGCCUGUUAAGUCAGGGGUGAAAGACUAUUGCUCAACAAUGGCAGUGCCUUUGAUACUGAUGGGCUUGAGUACAGAUGAGGCUGGCGGAAUGGGUGGUGUAGCGGUGAAAUGCAUAGAUACCAUGCAGAACACCAAUUGCGAAGGCGGCCGGCUAAACUGUCACUGACGCUGAGGCACGAAAGCGUGGGGAUCGAACGGG
This 253-nucleotide ribosomal RNA is filed under the name uncultured bacterium. RNAcentral's name for it is "partial 16S ribosomal RNA". It matches the Rfam family "Bacterial small subunit ribosomal RNA", at positions 524 to 776 of the family's 1533-position model. The record is from RNAcentral.